This 68-nucleotide transfer RNA is filed under the name Marmota monax (woodchuck). RNAcentral describes it as "tRNA.Ala". The record is from RNAcentral. Lineage: Eukaryota; Metazoa; Chordata; Mammalia; Rodentia; Sciuridae.
GUUGUGACUCAGUGGUAGAGUGCUUGCCUAGCAUGCAUGAGGUACAGCGUUUAAUCCCCGGCACCACA